Molecule: ribosomal RNA, 257 nt
Filed under: uncultured bacterium
Lineage: Bacteria
Description: partial small subunit ribosomal RNA
Rfam family: Bacterial small subunit ribosomal RNA
Source: RNAcentral
AGGACGAACGCUGGCGGCGUGCUUAACACAUGCAAGUCGAACGCAUGCAUUCCUUCGGGAAUGUGAUGAGUGGCGAACGGGUGAGUAACACGUGAGCAACCUACCCUUGACACUGGAAUAACAGCUGGAAACAGCUGCUAAUACCGGAUAUGACUCUUCUCGACAUCGGGAAGGUGGAAAGUUCUGGCGGUCAAGGAUGGGCUCGCGGCCUAUCAGCUAGUUGGUGAGGUAACGGCUCACCAAGGCUUCGACGGGUA